CUGGAUCACCUCCUUAAUCGACGACAGCAGCGGCUCCAUGAGCUCCCACACGAAUUGCUUGAUUCAUUGAAGAAGACGAUUGGGUCUGUAGCUCAGUUGGUUAGAGCGCACCCCUGAUAAGGGUGAGGUCGGCAGUUCGAAUCUGCCCAGACCCACCAAUUACUGGUGCACCCUGUAGCGAUACGGGGCCAUAGCUCAGCUGGGAGAGCGCCUGCCUUGCACGCAGGAGGUCAGCGGUUCGAUCCCGCUUGGCUCCACCAUUUACCGAUUGGUGACCCUCGUUUAAAGCUUAGAAAUGAGCAUUCCAUCAAGACGAUGUUGAAUGUUGAUUUCUAGUCUUUCGAUUAGAUCGUUCUUUAAAAAUUUGGGUAUGUGAUAGAAAGAUAGACUGAAGGCCACUUUCACUGGUGGUGUUCAGGCUAAGGUAAAAUUUGUGAGUUGCUCAAUGAGCAAGAUCGAAUUUUCGGCGAAUGUCGUCUUCACAGUAUAACCAGAUUGCUUGGGGUUAUAUGGUCAAGUGAAGAAGCGCAUAC
RNAcentral lists this transfer RNA (533 nucleotides) under Pseudomonas mediterranea. RNAcentral describes it as "partial contains 16S ribosomal RNA, 16S-23S ribosomal RNA intergenic spacer, and 23S ribosomal RNA". The stretch from base 82 to 155 matches the Rfam family "tRNA". The record is from RNAcentral. Lineage: Bacteria; Pseudomonadati; Pseudomonadota; Gammaproteobacteria; Pseudomonadales; Pseudomonadaceae.